RNAcentral lists this long non-coding RNA (1428 nucleotides) under Gossypium barbadense (sea-island cotton). Its description in RNAcentral is "long non-coding RNA (GBAR_LNC017677)". Lineage: Eukaryota; Viridiplantae; Streptophyta; Magnoliopsida; Malvales; Malvaceae. The record is from RNAcentral.
UUACAUAUUUCAUAUCAAAUACUCGUAUAUGGAAAAUUAUGUACAAUUUACAUUAUAUUUUAACAAAGACAAAUUCGAGUUGCAACAUAAAUAUAAAAAAAUGAUAAUUUUUUAUUGAUAUGAUUCAUAUUUGCAUCACAAAAAGUAAUUGAAAAAUGUAUUAUUGGUGUCGUCAGGCCGAAUGUGUGCCACAGGGUGGUGGCUAACGGUUGUGGGUAGGAUUUUUGCAUACAAGUUGUGGUAUCGACUCCUUCUCUUGAUCGUGAUUGUAAUACCCAAUUAUUGUCCAGGGCCCAAAAUCAUUUACACAAACCAAAUACUAAAACUAAAUACAUUUAACCCAAAUAACUCAAACUACAAGCCCAUUAACCUAAACCCAAGCCCAACUACAAUAUAGCCCAAGGGAGAAACCCUAAGCAGUUAGCAGCAGACAGCACCGCAUGCCCCACGUUCGGUAGCCUCCACAUCGCCCACGUUCAGCCCUCCGCGCGCACGACGCACCUCUUUCAUGUUUUCCAUGUACCUACAACGAACCACUAAUGGAAAAUAAUGGCAGAAAAUACGACGAGAAUGAAAUGAGAGUUUUUUUUGUUUUGUUUGUUAUUUUUCGGCUAUAUAAAGCCAAAUAAAAUUUGUAAAAAGGGGGAAGAAAAAAAAUUGUAUCUAAGAAUUUCAGAAAUAUGGAAAAAACAAAGAAUCAAAGAUAAUUUUGAAGGUGAUCAGUUUAUUCCGUUUUUCCUUUUCUUCUUACUGUUUUGUUUCUUUUUUUAAUUUUCUUCCUUGUUUUUAAAAUAAAUAAACGAAGUAAAGAGAAAGAGGGGAGAUUCUUACCAACGGUGGCGCGCCGUUGACAUCUUUGCUUCGCUUCGUUCCAAUCGAAGUUGAAAGGGGGGAACUUCAGCGUGAGGAGCAAAGAAGAGGAUGAAGCAACCCCUGCGGCUGCUGCUGCUGCAAAUGGAAUGAGUUUUAAUUAGGGUUUGAAAUGGGAUUUAAGCAUUAAUGGGUUAUUUACAUUUUUAAUCCUUUUUAUUUUUCCAUCAUUUCAAAACCAUGGUUUUUGUUUUUAAAUUUUUCUAUGAAAUAUUGAAAUUGUUUUAUUUUAAUCCCAUUUAAAUGCAGUGUUUGAGAGGUUUAGGUGAAUUUCCCUUUUGGGUCCUCCUCCUAUUGAGCGCAUUUUAAUUUGGGCCUUUUUGAUGUUUUCUAUCUUUAAAUUCGGUCCUUAAACUCUGUUUAUUUUCAAUUUAAUCCUUAAUCAGUCGUUUUAGGUUUUUUAGUUUUUUAAUAUUAUUAAUAUUGUUAUUGCAUCAUUAUUAUUACUAUUAUUAUAAUUGUUAUGACCACGUUUUUUAUUCCAAGUUUCUAUACAUAUACACGCAUAUUUUUUUAAUUUAAUAUAUAUGCCUAUAUUUUUUAGAUUUUAUAAAUACA